AGCAGCCGCGGUAAUUCCAGCUCCAAUAGCGUAUAUUAAAGUUGUUGCAGUUAAAAAGCUCGUAGUUGAACUUCGGGGUCUACCCAUUGGUCAGGCUUAAUUGUCUGCACUGGUGAGAUGGAUCUCUACCUUCUGAGGAACUUUCAUGCCAUUUAUUUGGUGUGGUUGGAAAUCAGGACUGUUACUUUGAAAAAAUUAGAGUGUUUAAAGCAGACUAUCGUCUGAAUACAUUAGCAUGGAAUAAUGAAAUAGGACGGACUGAUUCUAUUCGUUGGUUUCUAGGAUCACCGUAAUGAUUAAUAGGGAUAGUUGGGGGCAUUAGUAUUCAAUUGUCAGAGGUGAAAUUCUUGGAUUUAUUGAAGACUAACUACUGCGAAAGCAUUUGCCAAGGAUGUUUUCAUUAAUCAAGAACGAAAGUUAGGGGAUCGAAGACGAUCAGAUACCGUCGUAGUCUUAACCAUAAACUAAUGCCGACUAGGGAUCGGACGAAGUUAAUUUAUAAUGACG
RNAcentral lists this ribosomal RNA (507 nucleotides) under uncultured Diversispora. RNAcentral's name for it is "SSU rRNA". It matches the Rfam family "Eukaryotic small subunit ribosomal RNA", at positions 569 to 1078 of the family's 1831-position model. The record is from RNAcentral. Lineage: Eukaryota; Fungi; Glomeromycota; Glomeromycetes; Diversisporales; Diversisporaceae.